This 100-nucleotide non-coding RNA is filed under the name Vibrio cholerae O1 biovar El Tor str. N16961. The stretch from base 9 to 95 matches the Rfam family "c-di-GMP-I-GGC riboswitch aptamer". Lineage: Bacteria; Pseudomonadati; Pseudomonadota; Gammaproteobacteria; Vibrionales; Vibrionaceae. The record is from RNAcentral.
AAAAAUGUCACGCACAGGGCAAACCAUUCGAAAGAGUGGGACGCAAAGCCUCCGGCCUAAACCAGAAGACAUGGUAGGUAGCGGGGUUACCGAUGGCAAA